CGGCCGCCGCCGCCGCCGCCGGCCUACCCGUACGUGCCGCCGCCGCAGUACUACUACGUCCGCAACAUGAGCAUGGAGGAGAACCCCAACUCGUGCGCCAUUUGCUGAUCGAAAAAAAAAAACGCCAUGGCAAAUGAGCACCAUGAAUGCUUUGCAUCUCAAUGCAUGAUCUGUGUGCACUUCUGCAGCAGGUAGGCGACGCGUGCGUGCGUACACGCUUGUGUUCUUGAUCGAUCGGCCGUGAUGUGUAUAGUAUAAGAUCUCAGUGUUUAUGAUGAGAAGAACAAAUUAAGUUUGCGUGAUCGAACCAGU
Molecule: long non-coding RNA, 312 nt
Filed under: Oryza sativa (Asian cultivated rice)
Lineage: Eukaryota; Viridiplantae; Streptophyta; Magnoliopsida; Poales; Poaceae
Description: long non-coding RNA (OSAT_LNC000159)
Source: RNAcentral